CGAUGAACUGGGCUUGCGUGGGGAUUAGUGGCGAACGGGUGAGUAACACGUGAGUAACCUGCCCUUAACUCUGGGAUAAGCCUUGGAAACGGGGUCUAAUACUGGAUAUUGACUUUACCUCGCAUGGGGUUUGGUUGAAAGAUUUAUUGGUUUUGGAUGGACUCGCGGCCUAUCAGCUUGUUGGUGAGGUAAUGGCUCACCAAGGCGACGACGGGUAGCCGGCCUGAGAGGGUGACCGGCCACACUGGGACUGAGACACGGCCCAGACUCCUACGGGAGGCAGCAGUGGGGAAUAUUGCACAAUGGGCGAAAGCCUGAUGCAGCGACGCCGCGUGAGGGAUGACGGCCUUCGGGUUGUAAACCUCUUUCAGUAGGGAACAAGGCCAGCAUUUUUGUUGGUUGAGGGUACUUGCAGAAGAAGCGCCGGCUAACUACGUGCCAGCAGCCGCGGUAAUACGUAGGGCGCAAGCGUUAUCCGGAAUUAUUGGGCGUAAAGAGCUCGUAGGCGGUUUGUCGCGUCUGCCGUGAAAGUCCGGGGCUCAACCCCGGAUCUGCGGUGGGUACGGGCAGACUAGAGUGAUGUAGGGGAGACUGGAAUUCCUGGUGUAGCGGUGAAAUGCGCAGAUAUCAGGAGGAACACCGAUGGCGAAGGCAGGUCUCUGGGCAUUAACUGACGCUGAGGAGCGAAAGCAUGGGGAGCGAACAGGAUUAGAUACCCUGGUAGUCCAUGCCGUAAACGUUGGGCACUAGGUGUGGGGGACAUUCCACGUUUUCCGCGCCGUAGCUAACGCAUUAAGUGCCCCGCCUGGGGAGUACGGCCGCAAGGCUAAAACUCAAAGGAAUUGACGGGGGCCCGCACAAGCGGCGGAGCAUGCGGAUUAAUUCGAUGCAACGCGAAGAACCUUACCAAGGCUUGACAUGAACCGGUAAUACCUGGAAACAGGUGCCCCGCUUGCGGUCGGUUUACAGGUGGUGCAUGGUUGUCGUCAGCUCGUGUCGUGAGAUGUUGGGUUAAGUCCCGCAACGAGCGCAACCCUCGUUCUAUGUUGCCAGCACGUAAUGGUGGGGACUCAUAGGAGACUGCCGGGGUCAACUCGGAGGAAGGUGAGGACGACGUCAAAUCAUCAUGCCCCUUAUGUCUUGGGCUUCACGCAUGCUACAAUGGCCGGUACAAUGGGUUGCGAUACUGUGAGGUGGAGCUAAUCCCAAAAAGCCGGUCUCAGUUCGGAUUGGGGUCUGCAACUCGACCCCAUGAAGUCGGAGUCGCUAGUAAUCGCAGAUCAGCAACGCUGCGGUGAAUACGUUCCCGGGCCUUGUACACACCGCCCGUCAAGUCACGAAAGUUGGUAACACCCGAAGCCGGUGGCCUAACCC
This 1374-nucleotide ribosomal RNA is filed under the name Arthrobacter sp. Ln4B.1. RNAcentral describes it as "bacterial SSU rRNA". It matches the Rfam family "Bacterial small subunit ribosomal RNA", at positions 67 to 1441 of the family's 1533-position model. The record is from RNAcentral. Lineage: Bacteria; Bacillati; Actinomycetota; Actinomycetes; Micrococcales; Micrococcaceae.